This 301-nucleotide ribosomal RNA is filed under the name uncultured bacterium. Its description in RNAcentral is "partial 16S ribosomal RNA". It matches the Rfam family "Bacterial small subunit ribosomal RNA", at positions 509 to 808 of the family's 1533-position model. The record is from RNAcentral.
CAGUAGCCGCGGGAAUACAGAGGGUGCGAGCGUUAAUCGGAUUUACUGGGCGUAAAGCGUGCGUAGGCGGCUAAUUGAGUCGGAUGUGAAAUCCCCGAGCUUAACUUGGGAAUUGCAUUCGAUACUGGUUAGCUAGAGUGUGGGAGAGGAUGGUAGAAUUCCAGGUGUAGCGGUGAAAUGCGUAGAGAUCUGGAGGAAUACCGAUGGCGAAGGCAGCCAUCUGGCCUAACACUGACGCUGAGGUACGAAAGCAUGGGGAGCAAACAGGAUUAGAUACCCGGGUAGUCCCUGUCUCUAUACA